This is an RNA transcript of Ananas comosus (pineapple), 1469 nucleotides long. It is a transcript of the gene named choline-phosphate cytidylyltransferase 1, with no coding region annotated. The record is from RefSeq and is a predicted model, not a curated record. The transcript has 9 exons. Lineage: Eukaryota; Viridiplantae; Streptophyta; Magnoliopsida; Poales; Bromeliaceae.
GGGGGCCAUAGGAGAAGGCAACAUCGUCGUGCCUCUUCUCUUUCUUCGUCUUCGCUCGUGGACUCGUACGAGUCUUCCUUUUUCCUCUCUUCACACCCCGCGACUUCGAGCUCCUCUAAUGGCGGAAGCGAAGCCCCAAGAGGAGACGGGGAAGAAGACGAAGGCGGAGGGACCAGUGGCGGAGGCGGCGGAGGGGGAGAAGGAUCGACCCGUCCGAGUCUACGCCGAUGGCAUCUACGAUCUCUUCCACUUCGGCCACGCCCGAUCCCUCGAGCAAGCGAAGAAGCUGUUUCCAAACACGUAUCUUCUUGUUGGAUGUUGCAAUGAUGAAUUGACACACAAAUUUAAAGGGAAGACUGUCAUGACUGAAUCUGAGCGAUAUGAAUCUCUUCGGCAUUGCAAAUGGGUUGAUGAAGUUAUUCCUGAUGCUCCUUGGGUUAUCACAAAAGAGUUCCUAGACAAGCACAAGAUUGACUAUGUAGCUCACGACUCACUCCCAUAUGCCGAUGCAAGUGGAGCUGGCAACGAUGUAUAUGAAUUUGUUAAAUCAAUUGGUAAGUUCAAGGAAACGAAACGCACUGAUGGGAUAUCGACAUCUGAUAUAAUAAUGCGGAUCGUCAAAGAUUACAACCAAUACGUAAUGCGCAACUUGGCCCGAGGCUACACUAGGAAGGAUCUUGGUGUCAGCUAUGUAAAGGAAAAACGGUUGAGAGUAAAUAUGGGUUUAAAGAACCUGCGUGACAAAGUGAAGCAGCAACAGGAAAAAGUGGGUGAGAAGUUGCACACAGUUGCAAAGCUUCACGAGGAGUGGGUCGAGAAUGCGGAUCGCUGGGUUGCCGGUUUUCUUGAGAAAUUCGAGGAGGGAUGCCAUUCAAUGGGAACGGCCAUCAAAGAGCGAAUCCAGGAGAGCCUCAAGAGGGGGCAAUCGAAAGAUUUCAGUUUGCUUCAGUACGAGGAGGAAUAGUGCAAAUUCGUGUUUUAUGUACGCCUGUAAAUCACAUAGCUGUGAGUUGAUUAUAGGAGAACGCCUCUGCGAAAAACAUGUACUUUUGUUAGCCGAAACUCCCUCAUAACUGUUGUGCACUUCAAAACCUACAUACUUAGUUGCUGGGUUUGUUGGAUUAUUUUCUUUGGAUUAUAGGUGAAUAUGUUUGGUUCUAUUAGACCUAUGCUUUUGUUUACACUGGAGCACAGGAUGAAUCAAGUUGGUGGUGAUAUCAAUCACAUGUAUUGGUCUGUGAUCGAAUCCAUCAUGCGAAAUGUUGGCUCAGGUGCAUUGAAUUUGGUAAAAGCUUCUCAGGUUCAGCGUACCUGGACGCAAUUCUAGUUCUGCGAAAGUCAGGUUCGCCAGAGUGCGACCUGUUUGCCAUUUACUGUAGUUUUGCAAGUGGGUCAUGACUCUUCUUUUCCGACGUGGUGUCGUCUCAAAGGACAUGUAUUUAAAAGUUUUGUUGACGUAGAAAGUUAAA